UGUGUCAGCCGCCGCGGUAAUACGGAGGAUGCGAGCGUUAUCCGGAUUUAUUGGGUUUAAAGGGUGCGUAGGCGGAAAAAUAAGUCAGUUGUGAAAGUUUGCGGCUCAACCGUAAAAUUGCAGUUGAUACUGUUUUUCUUGAGUGUACAUAAGGUAGGCGGAAUUCGUGGUGUAGCGGUGAAAUGCUUAGAUAUCACGAAGAACUCCAAUUGCGAAGGCAGCUUACCGGGGUACAACUGACGCUGAGGCACGAAAGUGUGGGUAUCAAACAGGAUUAGAUACCCUGGUAGUCCACACAGUAAACGAUGAAUACUCGCUGUUUGCGAUAUACAGUAAGCGGCCAAGCGAAAGCAUUAAGUAUUCCACCUGGGGAGUACGCCGGCAACGGUGAAACUCAAAGGAAUUGACGGGGGCCCGCACAAGCGGAGGAACAUGUGGUUUAAUUCGAUGAUACGCGAGGAACCUUACCCAGGCUUAAAUUGCAGAUGAAUAUAGUGGAAACAUUAUAGCCAGCAAUGGCAUCUGUGAAGGUGCUGCAUGGUUGUCGUCAGCUCGUGCCGUGAGGUGUCGGCUUAAGUGCCAUAACGAGCGCAACCCUUGUCGAUAGUUACUAACAGAUAAUGCUGAGGACUCUAUCGAGACUGCCAUCGUAAGAUGUGAGGAAGGUGGGGAUGACGUCAAAUCAGCACGGCCCUUACGUCCGGGGCUACACACGUGUUACAAUGGAGGGUACAGAAGGCAGCUACACGGCGACGUGAUGCUAAUCCCGAAAACCUUUCUCAGUUCGGAUCGAAGUCUGCAACCCGACUUCGUGAAGCUGGAUUCGCUAGUAAUCGCGCAUCAGCCAUGGCGCGGUGAAUACGUUCCCGGGCCUUGUACACACCGCCCGUCAAGCCAUGGAAGCCGGGGGUACCUGAAGUACGUAACCGCAAGGAGCGUCCUAGGGUAAAACUGGUAACUGGGGCUAAGUCGUAACAAGGUAGCCA
RNAcentral lists this ribosomal RNA (986 nucleotides) under uncultured bacterium. RNAcentral's name for it is "bacterial SSU rRNA". It matches the Rfam family "Bacterial small subunit ribosomal RNA", at positions 504 to 1502 of the family's 1533-position model. The record is from RNAcentral.